ACAACGCUGGCGGCGUGCCUAAUACAUGCAAGUCGAGCGCAGGAAUCGACGGACCCUUCGGGGGGAAGUCGAYGGAAUGAGCGGCGGACGGGUGAGUAACACGUAAAGAACCUGCCCUCAGGUCUGGGAUAACCACGAGAAAUCGGGGCUAAUACCGGAUGGGUCAUCGGACCGCAUGGUCCGAGGAUGAAAGGCGCUUCGGCGUCGCCUGGGGAUGGCUUUGCGGUGCAUUAGCUAGUUGGUGGGGUAAUGGCCCACCAAGGCGACGAUGCAUAGCCGACCUGAGAGGGUGAUCGGCCACACUGGGACUGAGACACGGCCCAGACUCCUACGGGAGG
RNAcentral lists this ribosomal RNA (338 nucleotides) under Exiguobacterium sp. TJI-48. RNAcentral's name for it is "bacterial SSU rRNA". It matches the Rfam family "Bacterial small subunit ribosomal RNA", at positions 32 to 348 of the family's 1533-position model. Lineage: Bacteria; Bacillati; Bacillota; Bacilli; Caryophanales. The record is from RNAcentral.